AACGAACGCUGGCGGCAGGCUUAACACAUGCAAGUCGAACGGGUGUAGCAAUACAUCAGUGGCAGACGGGUGAGUAACACGUGGGAACCUUCCUAGGGGUACGGAACAACUCAGGGAAACUUGAGCUAAUACCGUAUACGUCCGUAAGGAGAAAGGUUCAUCGCCCCUAGACGGGCCCGCGUCGGAUUAGGUAGUUGGUGGGGUAACGGCCUACCAAGCCUACGAUCCGUAGCUGAUCUGAGAGGAUGAUCAGCCACACUGGGACUGAGACACGGCCCAGACUCCUACGGGAGGCAGCAGUGGGGAAUCUUGGACAAUGGGCGCAAGCCUGAUCCAGCCAUGCCGCGUGAGUGAAGAAGGCCUUAGGGUUGUAAAGCUCUUUUACCAGGGACGAUAAUGACGGUA
Molecule: ribosomal RNA, 405 nt
Filed under: uncultured bacterium
Lineage: Bacteria
Description: bacterial SSU rRNA
Rfam family: Bacterial small subunit ribosomal RNA
Source: RNAcentral